This 71-nucleotide transfer RNA is filed under the name Aquimarina sp. MMG016. It matches the Rfam family "tRNA". Rfam says of the family: Transfer RNA (tRNA) molecules are approximately 80 nucleotides in length. Their secondary structure includes four short double-helical elements and three loops (D, anti-codon, and T loops). Further hydrogen bonds mediate the characteristic L-shaped molecular structure. tRNAs have two regions of fundamental functional importance: the anti-codon, which is responsible for specific mRNA codon recognition, and the 3' end, to which the tRNAs corresponding amino acid is attached (by aminoacyl-tRNA synthetases). tRNAs cope with the degeneracy of the genetic code in two manners: having more than one tRNA (with a specific anti-codon) for a particular amino acid; and 'wobble' base-pairing, i.e. permitting non-standard base-pairing at the 3rd anti-codon position. The record is from Rfam by way of RNAcentral. Lineage: Bacteria; Pseudomonadati; Bacteroidota; Flavobacteriia; Flavobacteriales; Flavobacteriaceae.
UGACCUGUAAUGUAAUGGUAACAUACAAGACUUUGACUCUUGAAUUGGGGGUUCGAAUCCCCCCGGGUUGU